Molecule: microRNA precursor, 75 nt
Organism: Caenorhabditis briggsae
Lineage: Eukaryota; Metazoa; Nematoda; Chromadorea; Rhabditida; Rhabditidae
Rfam family: mir-357 microRNA precursor family
Source: Rfam
GCGAAUCCCGGCAAUCACCGUGCAUUUUCAUCUACCAGAGGCACUAAUGAAAAUGCCAGUCAUUGACGGAAUUCG